RNAcentral lists this ribosomal RNA (957 nucleotides) under uncultured bacterium. RNAcentral describes it as "bacterial SSU rRNA". It matches the Rfam family "Bacterial small subunit ribosomal RNA", at positions 12 to 968 of the family's 1533-position model. The record is from RNAcentral.
UUUGAUUCUGGCUCAGGAUUAACGCUAGCGGCAGGCCUAAUACAUGCAAGUCGAACGGGAUUUCGGUUAGCAAUAACUGGAUGAGAGUGGCGCACGGGUGCGUAACACGUAUGCAACCUACCUAUAACUGGGGGAUAGCCUCCCGAAAGGGAGAUUAACACCGCAUAACAUUAUGAAGUGGCAUCACUUUAUAAUUAAAUCUACGGAGGUUAUAGAUGGGCAUGCGUCCGAUUAGCUAGUUGGUGAGGUAACGGCUCACCAAGGCUCCGAUCGGUAGGGGGUCUGAGAGGAUGAUCCCCCACACUGGUACUGAGACACGGACCAGACUCCUACGGGAGGCAGCAGUAAGGAAUAUUGGACAAUGGGCGCAAGCCUGAUCCAGCCAUGCCGCGUGAAGGAUGAAGGCCCUAUGGGUCGUAAACUUCUUUUAUACGGGACAAAACCCCCCGAUGCGUCGGGGGUUGAUGGUACUGUAAGAAUAAGGGUCGGCUAACUUCGUGCCAGCAGCCGCGGUAAUACGAAGGACCCGAGCGUUAUCCGGAUUUAUUGGGUUUAAAGGGUGCGUAGGCGGAUUAGUAAGUCAGUGGUGAAAGCCCGUCGCUCAACGGCGGAACUGCCAUUGAUACUGCUAGUCUUGAGUAUGGUUGAGGUGGGCGGAAUGUGUCAUGUAGCGGUGAAAUGCUUAGAUAUGACCCAGAACACCAAUUGCGAAGGCAGCUCGCUAAGCCAUAACUGACGCUGAUGCACGAAAGCGUGGGGAGCAAACAGGAUUAGAUACCCUGGUAGUCCACGCCCUAAACUAUGAUCACUCGUUGUUGGCGAUACACAGUCAGCGACUAAAGGGAAACCAUUAAGUGAUCCACCUGGGGAGUACGACCGCAAGGUUGAACUCAAAGAAUUGACGGGGCCCGCACAAGCGGAGGAGCAUGGUGGUUAAUUCGAUGAUACCGCGAGGAA